UUUUUACCACACACGUGUCCGUAGAUCUCCAGCUUUUGGCACGCCACAGUUUCUUUUUGUUUCCUUACUUUUGCACGCCACGGAGUUUUUCUAGGUAUUUCACCAAUUAGUUUCGAAUCUUGGUUUAAGGUUGCUUCAAUCUUCCGAAGCUAGGGUUUAAGAUCUCGCUACGGUCGCUUUGGUGUCUUCAACUAUUACAAAUAGGUCUUCGUUUCGUAUGUUAUUCGAUCAUCGCCGCCGGUGAUAAUGGUUGAAUCCGGGAUAAGUAAAGCUUUCAUGAUGAAAGGAAUGGGAUAGGUCAAACCCUACAACUCUGGUAACUUCUCCGGUGAUGUUCCGUUUGGAUUCUAUCAUUGGGAGUCAGGUUCUGGAUAAAAUGUUAUAGGGGAGAAAAGAUGGGAGACAGAGACGGAGGUCUGCGGCUUUGACACGGUGGGCGAGAGAGGGGAGAAAAGAUGGGAGACAGAGACGGAGGUCUCCGGCUUUGACACGGUGAGCGCGCCGCACAUGGCUCUCCGGCAUCGACAUGACAGGCAUGACAGACGGGUCUGCCGCACAUGGCUCUCCGGCGGCUUGGGUUCUACUACAAAGCCGGUGACGACGGUGGUUUGGGGUUAUCGGUUUAGCGGCGGCUAGGGUUCCACUGCCAAUCCGACGACGGCGAUGAUUGGGGUUGUCUCCUUAGCGGCGGCUAGAGGUGAACGAUGUUCAACCACAAAUUGGCAGGGGGAUACACCGAAAGCAAUGUGAUUGAUGCCAUGAAGUUCGUGUUCGGAAAGAAAGAAAGCAAACAAGUUUCAGCGGUUAUAAUGCACGAUUAUACAUGUGGACCUGUUCGGGUUGGAACACAUUUUGGUCAGAGUUUGUUACAGGUGGUUCAGGUCAUUACGGGUUGGUGAACAAUCAAGUCAUUACAGAGUUUGUUACAGGUCAGAAGUGGUUCAGGUCAUUACGGAAGUGAUUCACGUCAUAAGUGUAAAAGUGCAUGCUAAAGGGUGAGCGCAACAAACUUGGCAACCGUGUUGAAAAAGAAGCAGUUGAAGAUGGUUUCUUAAGUUGCUAUAGCGGCUAACAAGUGUUUGGUUUUCAAAUCCGAGUCACCUAUAUGAAAUCCAUAAUUAUGAGGUAUACGAAAACGAAAUCCCCUGCCACUCAAGGAUCAAUGGUAUGGCCUUUGUAGCACCCACCUUCACACCGAAUUAAGUUUGUUAGGGAUCUUAGUUGCGAAGGUUUUCUAACUUUUAUGUAUAUUUCCUGUGUAUGUGUUAGGUCAUAUAUAAUACAUUUUGAUUCUGAUUCGACGGUGUUAAUUUGACUUACUUUGUGUUUUGACCCGCUGCAACACGUGGCGGGUAGGUUUUACAUCUCAG
This 1370-nucleotide long non-coding RNA is filed under the name Helianthus annuus (common sunflower). The record is from RNAcentral. Lineage: Eukaryota; Viridiplantae; Streptophyta; Magnoliopsida; Asterales; Asteraceae.